Molecule: long non-coding RNA, 492 nt
Organism: Oncorhynchus keta (chum salmon)
Lineage: Eukaryota; Metazoa; Chordata; Actinopteri; Salmoniformes; Salmonidae
Exons: 4
Source: RefSeq, a predicted model, not a curated record
UAAAUCAGGCCCUGAUUAGAGGGGAAUCACCCACCUGGUGUCUCAGGUCUAAAUCAGGCCCUGAUUAGAGGGGAAUCACCCACCUGGUGUCCCAGGUCUAAAUCAGGCCCUGAUUAGAGGGGAAUCACCCACCUGGUGUCCCAGUUCUAAAUCAGGCCCUGAUUAGAGGGGAAUCACCCACCUGGUGUCUCAGGUCUAAAUCAGGCCCUGAUUAGAGGGGAAUCACCCACCUGGUGUCCCAGGUCUAAAUCAGGCCCUGAUUAGAGGGGAAUCACCCACCUGGUGUCCCAGGUCUAAAUCAGGCCCUGAUUAGAGGGGAAUCACCCACCUGGUGUCCCAGUUCUAAAUCAGGCCCUGAUUAGAGGGGAAUCACCCACCUGGUGUCUCAGGUCUAAAUCAGGCUCUGAUUAGAGGGGAAUCACCCACCUGGUGUCCCAGGUCUAAAUCAGGCCCUGAUUAGAGGGGAAUCACCCACCUGGUGUCCCAGGUCUA